UGGGUUAGAACUCGACUCAACCCGGCAUCGCAACGAUGUUCGGUAGAGGCUCGCCACGCCGGCAGCGGGCUUCGUUGGCAGUCUAUCUGCCGACCUCCCUAGGAGGUCAUAAAGGAACACCAGUCAAC
Molecule: regulatory RNA element, 128 nt
Rfam family: rmf RNA
Source: Rfam